CCUACGGAGGUCAGCAGUGAGGAAUAUUGGUCAAUGGGCGUAAGCCUGAACCAGCCAAGUCGCGUGAGGGAUGAAGGUUCUAUGGAUCGUAAACCUCUUUUAUAAGGGAAUAAAGUGCGGGACGUGUCCCGUUUUGUAUGUACCUUAUGAAUAAGGAUCGGCUAACUACGUGCCAGCAGCCGCGGUAAUACGGAGGAUCCGAGCGUUAUCCGGGUUUAUUGGGUUUAAAGGGUGCGUAGGCGGCCUUUUAAGUCAGCGGUGAAAGUCUGUGGCUCAACCAUAGAAUUGCCGUUGAAACUGGGAGUCUUGAGUAUGUUUGAGGCAGGCGGAAUGCGUGGUGUAGCGGUGAAAUGCUUAGAUAUCACGCAGAACCCCGAUUGCGAAGGCAGCCUGCCAAGCCAUGACUGACGCUGAUGCACGAAAGCGUGGGGAUCAAACAGGAUUAGAUACCCUUGUAGUC
This 460-nucleotide ribosomal RNA is filed under the name uncultured bacterium. RNAcentral's name for it is "partial 16S ribosomal RNA". It matches the Rfam family "Bacterial small subunit ribosomal RNA", at positions 338 to 795 of the family's 1533-position model. The record is from RNAcentral.